AUUGAACGCUGGCGGCAGGCCUAACACAUGCAAGUCGAACGAGUGGCGGACGGGUGAGUAAUGUCUGGGAAACUGCCUGAUGGCGGGGGAUAACUACUGGGAACGGUAGCUAAUACCGCAUCCCAUCGGAUGUGCCCAGAUGGGAUUGGCUAGUUGGGGGGGUAAAGGCUCACCUAGGCGACGAUCCCUAGCUGGUCUGAGAGGAUGACCAGCCAAACUGGAACGGAGCAACGGUCAAGACUCCGACGGGAGGAAGCAGUGGGGAAUAUUGGACAAUGGGCGAAAGCCUGAGGCAGCCAUGCCGCGUGGAUGAAGAAGGCCUUCGGGUUGUAAAGUACUUUCAGCGGGGAGGCGUUACCGGCAGAAGAAGCACCGGCUAACUCCGUGCCAGCAGCCGCGGUAAUUC
RNAcentral lists this ribosomal RNA (406 nucleotides) under uncultured bacterium. RNAcentral describes it as "partial 16S ribosomal RNA". It matches the Rfam family "Bacterial small subunit ribosomal RNA", at positions 29 to 526 of the family's 1533-position model. The record is from RNAcentral.